GUGGUGGAAAGUUUUUUCGGUACGAGAUGAGCCCGCGGCCUAUCAGCUUGUUGGUGGGGUAAUGGCCUACCAAGGCGUCGACGGGUAGCCGGCCUGAGAGGGUGGACGGCCACAUUGGGACUGAGAUACGGCCCAGACUCCUACGGGAGGCAGCAGUGGGGAAUAUUGCACAAUGGGCGCAAGCCUGAUGCAGCGACGCCGCGUGAGGGAUGACGGCCUUCGGGUUGUAAACCUCUUUCGACAGGGACGAAGCUUUUUGUGACGGUACCUGUAUAAGAAGCACCGGCUAACUACGUGCCAGCAGCCGCGGUAAUACGUAGGGUGCGAGCGUUGUCCGGAAUUACUGGGCGUAAAGAGCUCGUAGGUGGUUUGUCGCGUCGUCUGUGAAAUUCCGGGGCUUAACUCCGGGCGUGCAGGCGAUACGGGCAUAACUUGAGUGCUGUAGGGGAGACUGGAAUUCCUGGUGUAGCGGUGGAAUGCGCAGAUAUCAGGAGGAACACCGAUGGCGAAGGCAGGUCUCUGGGCAGUAACUGACGCUGAGGAGCGAAAGCAUGGGGAGCGAACAGGAUUAGAUACCCUGGUAGUCCAUGCCGUAAACGGUGGGCGCUAGGUGUGAGGGUCUUCCACGACUUUCGUGCCGUAGCUAACGCAUUAAGCGCCCCGCCUGGGGAGUACGGCCGCAAGGCUAAAACUCAAAGGAAUUGACGGGGGCCCGCACAAGCGGCGGAGCAU
This 732-nucleotide ribosomal RNA is filed under the name Corynebacterium pseudotuberculosis. RNAcentral describes it as "bacterial SSU rRNA". It matches the Rfam family "Bacterial small subunit ribosomal RNA", at positions 196 to 940 of the family's 1533-position model. Lineage: Bacteria; Bacillati; Actinomycetota; Actinomycetes; Mycobacteriales; Corynebacteriaceae. The record is from RNAcentral.